CCUUACAAUUUCAACUCUUCCUUGGAGGAAAAUGAGAAGUGCCAGGUUUCUUUCCAGAAUCUUUGGACAAUAGGUGGAGUGGCGGCAGAAAGGGGAAGAAUGGACAUGGUGGGUGUGAGCCAAUCACAGCAUAUUCAAUGAUUCCACAUGGAUUGGAGAGUGUUGAAUCAUGAGGAGGCUGGCAAAAGGGCCCUCUCCUC
Molecule: long non-coding RNA, 200 nt
Filed under: Piliocolobus tephrosceles (Ugandan red Colobus)
Lineage: Eukaryota; Metazoa; Chordata; Mammalia; Primates; Cercopithecidae
Description: lncRNA (ENSPTEG00000025470.1)
Source: RNAcentral